This 371-nucleotide long non-coding RNA is filed under the name Mytilus galloprovincialis (Mediterranean mussel). Lineage: Eukaryota; Metazoa; Mollusca; Bivalvia; Mytilida; Mytilidae. The record is from RNAcentral.
AGCAAAUACAGUAAGAGCAAUUGUAAACAAAAGACUGAUGAAAAAGUAAAGAAAAUAUUUAUAAAAUCUACCAAUGAAGCAUUUAAAAAUAGUAACAUUCAAAUGGGUGGAGUCACAAUGUCACAAGUGAGUUUAGUAGCUUUGAGUUUUUUUAAGGUAAUAUUGGUUGUUUUAGAAAGUGACUCAGCAGAAAAUUAUUUACAAAAUCUUUACAACUGUUUAGCUCACUAUUUACCAAAAGCAUAAGGUAGCUGAAAUGGUGUAAACAGCAUGUUAACAUAACAAGAUUAGAAAAGUGUAAAUAUUUCUUCUCUAAAAUGUUAUUGACAUGCAAUACUGUUGAUAAAUUAUUCUUUGGAUUUCAAUAAUCC